UAUUAAUUGAAAUAACUAUGAAAGUGCAGUGGGAUGGCUUCUGACACCUCUAAAAAGAAAGGGUUAGAAAGGCAUUGACUUCAUCCUAAACCACUUCAAGCCCUGCUAAGAUGUGAUCUUUCCUUUUCUUUCUCUUUUUUGUAGGUACUUGGUCUUUAAUCUGGUUGAAUGAUCUGGAGUGUCUCCUUUUGAGAGCAAUGUGAACAAAUUCCUUGUACAGAACCAUGAUCACGAAUAUCCGGGAGCAAUUUUGAAGCAUGGCAUUACUAUUUUUAUCAGUUCUCUCCAUCCCAGCUGUUGCUUCAUGUUAACAUGCAGAAAGGUGUGAAAAUCCCAGCAGAGGCGCGUGAAUCCCAGAGAGACCUGUAUUCUGUCAUUCUAACCCUUGAAUUAGAAGAAGCCUCUCUCCCUAUCUCUGGAUAGAAGUUCCUCUAUUCCUGAUUCUCCCAACUGUGUGCUCUACCUAGAUUCCUGUGAUCGUGUCAUUGAAUAAAAGGAUUGAAGGGAAGUGGUUGGAACUGUAA
Molecule: long non-coding RNA, 524 nt
Filed under: Monodelphis domestica (gray short-tailed opossum)
Lineage: Eukaryota; Metazoa; Chordata; Mammalia; Didelphimorphia; Didelphidae
Description: lncRNA (ENSMODG00000032975.2)
Source: RNAcentral